Molecule: ribosomal RNA, 559 nt
Filed under: uncultured bacterium
Lineage: Bacteria
Description: bacterial SSU rRNA
Rfam family: Bacterial small subunit ribosomal RNA
Source: RNAcentral
GACGAACACUGGCGGCAUGCCUAAGACAUGCAAGUCGAACGAGGUGGCCCAAUGAAGAAGGAGUGCUUACACAAUUUUGGAUUUGGAUUUCCACCUAGUGGCGGACGGGUGAGUAACACGUGGGUAACCUACCUUUUAGUUGGGGAUAACAAUUGGAAACGAUUGCUAAUACCGAAUGAUAUAUUAGAAGAUAACUUCUGAUAUUAAAAGGCGCUUUCAAGCGUCACUUUAAGAUGGGCCCGCGGUGUAUUAGCUUGUUGGUGGGGUAAUGGCUCGCCAAGGCAACGAUGCAUAGCCGAACUGAGAAGUUGAACGGCCACGCUGGGACUGAGACACGGCCCAGACUCCUACGGGAGGCAGCAGUUAGGAAUCUUCGUCAAUGGGGGAAACCCUGAACGAGCGAUGCCGCGUGAGUGAUGACGGUCUUUUCGAUUGUAAAACUCUGUGGUUUGGAAAGAACGACCAAAGUAGGAAAUGACUUUGGAGUGACGGUACCAUUCUAGAAAGCCCCGGCUAACUAUGUGCCAGCAGCCGCGGUAAUACAUAGGGGCGAGCGGUG